This 254-nucleotide ribosomal RNA is filed under the name uncultured bacterium. RNAcentral describes it as "partial 16S ribosomal RNA". It matches the Rfam family "Bacterial small subunit ribosomal RNA", at positions 524 to 776 of the family's 1533-position model. RNAcentral also lists the same sequence under 1 other name. The record is from RNAcentral.
CACGUAGGGGGCAAGCGUUGUCCGGAUUUAUUGGGCGUAAAGAGCUCGUAGGUGGUUCGGUAAGUCGGGUGUGAAACCUCCAGGCUCAACCUGGAGACGCCACCCGAUACUGCUGUGACUGGAGUCCGGUAGGGGAGCGUGGAAUUCCUGGUGUAGCGGUGAAAUGCGCAGAUAUCAGGAGGAACACCAGCGGCGAAGGCGGCGCUCUGGGCCGGUACUGACACUGAGGAGCGAAAGCGUGGGUAGCAAACAGG